UUCUUAAUGAAAAUAAAAUUAAGUACCUCCUGCUCAAUGAAACUUAAAUAGCCGCAAUUAUUUGUGCUAAGGUAGCAUAAUCAUUAGUCUUUUAAUUGAAGAAUAGAAUGAAAGGAUAAACGAGUAAUUUACUGUAUCUCGCCAAAACUAUAAAACUUAUUGUAAUGUAAAAAAUCAUUAAUACUACAGCUAGACGACAAGACCCUAUUGAACUUUUACUCCGUUAAGCUGGGGCGGCUUCUAGACCAUUCCUCUAACCUUAUAUUUAAUAAAUUGACCUUAUAUUAUAAAUUUCCUGAACAAGUUACCAUAGGGAUAACAGUGUAAUUUAUUUUAAGAGCUCUUAUCAAAAAAUAAGAUUGCAACCUCGAUGUUGAAUAGCAACCUAAUUGAAGCAACAUUCUAUUUAAGGAAGUCUGUUCGACUUUUAAACAGCUACA
RNAcentral lists this ribosomal RNA (440 nucleotides) under Zaitunia beshkentica. RNAcentral describes it as "partial 16S ribosomal RNA". It matches the Rfam family "Archaeal large subunit ribosomal RNA", at positions 1911 to 2669 of the family's 2987-position model. Lineage: Eukaryota; Metazoa; Arthropoda; Arachnida; Araneae; Filistatidae. The record is from RNAcentral.